RNAcentral lists this ribosomal RNA (90 nucleotides) under Acanthosepion pharaonis. The record is from RNAcentral. Lineage: Eukaryota; Metazoa; Mollusca; Cephalopoda; Sepiida; Sepiidae.
ACGUUGAAAACACCGGUUCUCGUUCGAUCACCGAAGUUAAGCAUCGAGCCAGGUCAGUACUUAGAUGGGGACCGCUUGAAACACCUGGUA